UCCGGUUGAUCCUGCCAGAGGUUACUGCUAUCGGAGUUCGAGUAAGCCAUGCGAGUCUAAAGGCUUCUUCGGAAGCCUUGGCGGACUGCUCAGUAACACGUGGAUAACCUACCCUUAGGACUGGGAUAACCCCGGGAAACUGGGGAUAAUACCGGAUAGAUCAGGGAUGCUGGAAUGCGCCUUGAUCCAAAGCUCCGGCGCCUAAGGAUGGGUCUGCGGCCUAUCAGGUUGUAGUGGGUGUAACGUACCUACUAGCCGACGACGGGUACGGGUUGUGAGAGCAAGAGCCCGGAGAUGGAUUCUGAGACACGAAUCCAGGCCCUACGGGGUGCAGCAGGCGCGAAACCUUUACAAUGUGCGAAAGCAUGAUAAGGGGACUCCGAGUGCCAGUAUCUAAUGCUGGCUGUCCUUGUGCCCAAAAAGCACAAGAUAGCAAGGGCCGGGUAAGACCGGUGCCAGCCGCCGCGGUAACACCGGCGGCCCGAGUGGUAGCCGCUAUUAUUGGGUCUAAAGGGUCCGUAGCCGGUUCGGUAAGUCCUCUGGGAAAUCUGGUUGCUUAACAAUCAGGCUGCCAAGGGAUACUGCCUGAACUUGAGACCGGGAGAGGUAAGAGGUACUUCAGGGGUAGGAGUGAAAUCUUGUGAUCCCUGGGGGACCAUCUGUGGCGAAGGCGUCUUACCAGAACGGGUCUGACGGUGAGGGACGGAAGCUGGGGGCGCAAACCGGAUUAGAUACCCGGGUAGUCCCAGCCGUAAACGAUGCUCGCUAUGUGUCAGGUACGGUGCGACCGUAUCUGGUGCCGUAGGGAAGCCGUGAAGCGAGCCACCUGGGAAGUACGGCCGCAAGGCUGAAACUUAAAGGAAUUGGCGGGGGAGCAC
RNAcentral lists this ribosomal RNA (878 nucleotides) under uncultured archaeon. RNAcentral describes it as "bacterial SSU rRNA". It matches the Rfam family "Archaeal small subunit ribosomal RNA", at positions 1 to 879 of the family's 1478-position model. The record is from RNAcentral.